AUGGAAAAGAAUAGAAGUCCUAGCCCUGAUGGAUUCCCAAUUGAUUUCUAUUAAUUUUUCUGGGAUGUGAUCAGAGAUGACCUGAUGAAUCUAGUUAAUGAUUUCCAUUAGGGGACCUUGGACAUAUCUAGAAUCAAUUUUGGGGUCAUCACACUGGUUCCUUAGACCAAAGAUGCUAGAUAGAUUCAAAAAUAUAGACCCAUCUAUUUGUUGAAUGUAAGCAUUAAGAUUAUUACCAAAGUGUUGAUGAAUAGACUUAGCAAAGUGGUAAACCCAAUCAUCUCUCUAGUGCAGACUGCCUUCACCAAGGGCAGAUACAUUAUGGAGGGUGUGGUGAUUCUUCAUGAGGCCUUAAACACAAUACAUACCAAAAAUAGAGUGCACUACUGUUCAAAGUAG
This 399-nucleotide ribosomal RNA is filed under the name Triticum aestivum (bread wheat). RNAcentral's name for it is "partial small subunit ribosomal RNA". Lineage: Eukaryota; Viridiplantae; Streptophyta; Magnoliopsida; Poales; Poaceae. The record is from RNAcentral.